RNAcentral lists this long non-coding RNA (717 nucleotides) under Arachis ipaensis. RNAcentral's name for it is "long non-coding RNA (AIPA_LNC001811)". Lineage: Eukaryota; Viridiplantae; Streptophyta; Magnoliopsida; Fabales; Fabaceae. The record is from RNAcentral.
GCUUAUCAAAUAAAUAUCAUGUCCAAAAUAUAUCCCACAUGCGGACACAGCAAAUCAAGAAAAUUUGCGAGCUUCAUAGUUAUAUACAGUAGUAAUUAAUAAAGUAGGGUAAUAAUCACUUCAGAAAAACCAAGCAAUUAAUAAUAACUUCACCGCAGCAAUACAUGGAUACAAAGUACAACUACAUUCAUGGAACAGAGACUUCAAAAGUAAUUAACCUAAAGCUCAAUGAUACACAUACACAUAUAAUUAAUUAGGGGUACAUACUUGAGCUUGAAACUAUCCAUUAUUACUAAUCUUUGAGAUCCGAGGCGGCCAUGGAUCGGAAAACCUUCUCUAUGAUUUUGCCCCUUCUGGGAACUGAGGCUGCAAGAGAUUUGUGUCCCUUGAGAGAACCUCCAUUAUUAUUGGCAAUAGAAGAGGCAGCAGCAGGUUGAGAUGAUUCUCUUGUGGUUCCAUCAUGAUGAUGAUGAUCACUCAUUGUGAUGGUGUCGCUCAUAUUUGCUUGCUUCAGAGCUCACAAGUCACAAUAAUGCAAUUAAAAAGAAGAAGAAAAGUAGUAGUUACUUACUACUCUGGUGUGAGUGGAGCCUUAUCUUUUGUAUAAAAACGACAAACAAUCAAUCAUAUGGAUCGCACAUUAUUAAAUGUAAUUACUAAGCUUUUCUUUUUUUCUAUGAGUAAUUACUAGUUGGUAUCAUUUUUCAACAAGUGUAC